Molecule: ribosomal RNA, 253 nt
Filed under: uncultured bacterium
Lineage: Bacteria
Description: partial 16S ribosomal RNA
Rfam family: Bacterial small subunit ribosomal RNA
Source: RNAcentral
UACGGAGGGGGCAAGCGUUGUUCGGAAUUACUGGGCGUAAAGGGCGCGCAGGCGGCUGCUCAAGUCAGGCGUGAAAGGCCUGGGCUCAACCCGGGAACUGCUUUUGAAACUGCCGAGCUAGAGUGCGGAAGGGGCAACUGGAAUUCCCAGUGUAGCGGUGAAAUGCGUAGAUAUUGGGAAGAACACCUGAGGCGAAGGCGGGUUGCUGGGCCGAUACUGACGCUGAUGCGCGAAAGCCAGGGGAGCGAACGGG